Molecule: small nuclear RNA, 107 nt
Organism: Trichechus manatus latirostris (Florida manatee)
Lineage: Eukaryota; Metazoa; Chordata; Mammalia; Sirenia; Trichechidae
Source: RefSeq, a predicted model, not a curated record
GCGCUGACUUCCGCAGCACAUAUACGAACACUGGAGGGAUGCAGAGAAGAUUAGCACAGCCCCUGCGCAAGGAUGACAGGCAAAUUCGUGAAGCGGUCCAUAUGUUU